This 72-nucleotide transfer RNA is filed under the name Pangasius djambal. RNAcentral describes it as "tRNA-Glu". The record is from RNAcentral. Lineage: Eukaryota; Metazoa; Chordata; Actinopteri; Siluriformes; Pangasiidae.
UCCCUGGAGGACUAGUGGUUAGGCCACAAUGCUCUCGCCGCUGCGGCCUGCGUUUGAUUCCCGCCCAGGGAC